GACGAACGCUGGCGGCGUGCUUAACACAUGCAAGUCGAACGGAAAGGCCCUGCUUUUGUGGGGUGCUCGAGUGGCGAACGGGUGAGUAACACGUGAGUAACCUGCCCUUGACUUUGGGAUAACUUCAGGAAACUGGGGCUAAUACCGGAUAGGAGCUCCUGCUGCAUGGUGGGGGUUGGAAAGUUUCGGCGGUUGGGGAUGGACUCGCGGCUUAUCAGCUUGUUGGUGGGGUAGUGGCUUACCAAGGCUUUGACGGGUAGCCGGCCUGAGAGGGUGACCGGCCACAUUGGGACUGAGAUACGGCCCAGACUCCUACGGGAGGCAGCAGUGGGGAAUAUUGCACAAUGGGCGGAAGCCGGAUGCAGCAACGCCGCGUGCGGGAUGACGGCCUUCGGGGUGGAAACCGCUUUCGCCUGUGACGAAGCGUGAGUGACGGUAAUGGGUAAAGAAGCACCGGCUAACUACGUG
RNAcentral lists this ribosomal RNA (468 nucleotides) under uncultured bacterium. Its description in RNAcentral is "partial 16S ribosomal RNA". It matches the Rfam family "Bacterial small subunit ribosomal RNA", at positions 28 to 507 of the family's 1533-position model. The record is from RNAcentral.